UUGAAUUGCGGUAUCUCGCGCAAGCGCUUCUGCGUUCGGCCCCACAGAGCCGAGGCCUCGGCGCCGCCAUUUUGCACCACAAACUUGUCUCAAGGGUCUGGUGCGUGACCUGUGCACAAGACACCCUGUGGAGCAAGUGAAACUAGGCUAAGCACCAAGGAGAAAACACAAGACAAGUACAGGAUUACACAUCUCUGCUCCCCUUCUGUCAGGAGAGGCCACGUGACUGGUCCAUGGGUGGUGAACAACAGUGAUCCUGUCAUUUCUGAGCUGAAGCAUUUGCUCCUUCAUCUAUGACCUUCCACCACUCUUGCUGCACACUUAUGGUAGAGCUGCAAGGUGUUUUUCUCUGUCUGCUGGGAUAACUGAGUCACAACAUGGAGGGCAGCUGUCUUAGAAGCCACCCAGACCUUCAGACACACGCCUUUAGAGCCAUGAAUAUAAGAAGUCCACCAUCCCCAAAGAAGCCCAGCUGCAGGUACCAUGUGGAGAGACCCCACAGAGAGAGAGAGAGAAGUUCUCCAGGAACCUCAGCUACCUGAGCCUCUCCAGAUCUGGCACCAGAAACACAAGUGGGGAAAUCUCCUCCAUGACUCCAGCUGCAUCCACCUGAAUACAACUGCAGAAGGGACCCCAAGUAAGAACUGCCCAGCCAAGCCCAGACAUCACUCAGAACUGUGAGAGAAAACAAUAGAUGAUUUUUGUUGCUUUAUGCCAAUAAGUUUGGGAUAGCUUGUUAUGCGGCAAUUGCUAACCAGGGCAGUUCCCCUCAAGCUUGAGCAAAUCUAUGCUCCAUGGGAAUCAAGAAGCUUCCCGAGAUUUCUCCUGAUUGAUAUUGGAGUGGAAUGGCUUGUUCGUGGUGGGUUAUGUGUCCUCAGAUGCUGCCUCUGUCCUAGGCCAUAUUAACUCUUAUGAGAAGUCCAGCCCCAGUUUCAGUUCCCCAAAUGAAAAUCACUCAGACCAAGCAUUUGAGUGAGUAGUAAACUUCAUGCAAAAUUUAAAGAGACAUUGCCAACCACACAGGCUUCUGUCAAUGGGCUUCCUCGUCUAUACCCAUACAAACAUCCCUUCCCAUUCUCCCCCUGCCCUUCAGGUUGCUCUGGGCAUCCAAAUUCUUCUCUUGCUACGAAGAGUAAUUCAGCUCCUCUUAAGCUCCCAGUCCAAAACACCCACACUUAAGUGCCUUAAGAAUCCAGCCCUGUACUUCCUUUGUGGUGCAGUGGGUUAAGGAUGGGGCAUUGCCACAACUGUGGAGCAGGUCACAACUUCGGGAUGGAUUAGAUCCCUGUCCAGGGAACUUCCACAUGCCUUGGGCAUGGCCAAAUAGUAAUAAUAAAUAAUAAUAAUAAUAAUAAUAAUAAUACAGCUUUUUCUGGAAACUGUUGCGGUUUAGACAGGCAUUUUUUCUUAUAUGCACAUACAUUAUAAAAUGUAAAAAAAAAAUACACACAGAUUAAAAAAAAAAUCAAAAACUGCCUCCAAAUCCCAUUACCCAGAGGUAACUACUGUUAACAUCUGUGGUAAAUAUCCUAUCCGUACACCCCAAUUUUUACCCAAAUGGAGUCACAUUAUCCUUGUUCUAUAUUCUCCUCAGGCAUCAUUAGUAAUAAUAAUUUUAUCAUUUAUUUAGUACCUGGUAUGUACUUGGUAGUUGCAUAAAAGAGACAUCAUCUUUUUCCUCAGGGACUUUGGUGAGAGGCAGGGCUGGGAUCUGAAUCCAGGCCCACCUAACCCUAGGUCCUAUACUCUAACCACAUAAGCCUAGGCUCCUAUCUGGGUCCAUAUCCCAAACCUACACACCACUGCAGAGAGACUGUCCUGGCCCUGCACAUCUCGAACCUGACCUAGUGCCCUGACAAAGUCCUCU
Non-coding RNA from Sus scrofa (pig), 1867 nucleotides. The record is from RefSeq and is a predicted model, not a curated record. NCBI's taxonomy places the organism in Eukaryota, Metazoa, Chordata, Mammalia, Artiodactyla, Suidae.